AGUGAACGCUGGCGGUAGGCCUAACACAUGCAAGUCGAACGGCAGCACAGUAAGAGCUUGCUCUUACGGGUGGCGAGUGGCGGACGGGUGAGGAAUACAUCGGAAUCUACUUUUUCGUGGGGGAUAACGUAGGGGAACUUACGCUAAUACCGCAUACGACCUACGGGUGAAAGCAGGGGAUCUUCGGACCUUGCGCGAUUGAAUGAGCCGAUGUCGGAUUAGCUAGUUGGCGGGGUAAAGGCCCACCAAGGCGACGAUCCGUAGCUGGUCUGAGAGGAGGAAUAGGCACACUGGAACGUGGAAACGGGUCAGACUCCCACGGGAGGGCGCAGGUGGGAAUAUUGGAAAAAGGGGGGAAGCCUUAACCAACCAUACCGCGGGGGGUGAGAAGGGCCUCCGGUUUGAAAAGCCUUUUGGUUGGAAAGAAAAGGCGGCGGUUUAUACCCCGCCUUUCUGACGGUACCCAAAGAAAAAGCCCCGGGUAACUUCGUG
This 492-nucleotide ribosomal RNA is filed under the name uncultured bacterium. RNAcentral describes it as "partial 16S ribosomal RNA". It matches the Rfam family "Bacterial small subunit ribosomal RNA", at positions 29 to 507 of the family's 1533-position model. The record is from RNAcentral.